AUGUUUGUUGGCUACAUAAAUGUCUUCUUUUUAGAAGUGACUGUUCAUAUCCUUUACCCACUAUUUGAUUUUGUUUUCUUUUGUAGGUUUGCUGAAGUUCUUUGUAGAUUCUGGACAUUAGCUCUUUAUCAGGAGUUCAAGAAAUUCAAAAAUGAUGCCCUACCACUGCUGCCAUUUUCCCACAAUCUGCACAGAUGGUGUUUUCAAACCCCAUCUGCUAUAUCUCCUUGUGACCAAGCAUAUCCUGAAAGAGGGUAAGAGAGGGGUGGGGCAAAAUGGAAGGAAGGUAAGUUUGUUAGAGUGAGAAAUUACAUCUUUUUCUUAUUUCUGUAAAAUGUAUUAUAUACAACUGAUAACAAUUAGCUAUAAAAUGCCUCUUCUCUUCGCUUAUAUUCUCCAUGGUCUUACUGCUCUGUGAACAGGCUCUAUCUUUCAAAUGAGUCGGUUGAGAAUAGAAUGUUAAUUCGUUUGUUUGUUUAGGGACACCAGUUUCAAGUGUCAUGGAGAUAUAUAUAUACAUACAUGCCGUGUUAUAGCAGAUAAGGGACUACUUAAGUCCUUGAUAGAAAAACCCAGGUUCGUACAUGCUUAUUCCAUUAAUAUAGAUGGAAGAGGUCUAAAACUCAAAAAUUACCAUCCAAAAAUAGAAAGCAAAGCUGAGCUCUCUUGUUUUUCUCUUAUUAUUCAUUGAUAUGAGAUUAUUUUAAAGAGUAGUGUUAUUCAACAGAUAGAUGCUGUGCCACAUGUUCUUAGGUACCCUCCUUUAUGAUAAAGUGGCUGGGAAAUUGAUGCAAUACUCAAUUAGCAAAGUCAAGAUGCAUGAUUAAGAGCCUUCUAGGGAGCUGGCCAUGGCCCUGGAAAAGACUGACUUCUUUCUCUUCCUGUACUUAUAAGCUACUGUUUGGAAUAUGAACCUGCUUUGUGAAUUCCUUAAGAACUAGCCUGAAUGAGGAGAGAAC
RNAcentral lists this long non-coding RNA (959 nucleotides) under Callithrix jacchus (white-tufted-ear marmoset). RNAcentral's name for it is "lncRNA (ENSCJAG00000074346.1)". Lineage: Eukaryota; Metazoa; Chordata; Mammalia; Primates; Cebidae. The record is from RNAcentral.